AAGCUUAUCUCUGAGAGGGUGAAAAUUGAAGCAGAUACAAAGAGAGGCAUAAUACUUUCCACAUCCUAUCCCCAGACAGUUAGUAGGAAUGAAAUUUUUUUUUUUUUUGUCUUUUUGCUAUUUCUUUGGGCCGCUCCCACAGCAUAUGGAGGUUCCCAGGCUAGGGGUCGAAUUAGAGCUGUAGCCACUGGCCUAUGCCAGAGCCACAGCAACGCAGGAUCUGAGCCGCGUCUGCAACCUACACCACAGCUCACGGCAAUGCUGGAUCGUUAACCCACUGAGCAAGGGCAGGGACCGAACCCACAACGUCAUGGUUCCUAGUCGGAUUCAUUAAUGGCUGUGCCACGAUGGGAAUUCCAGGAACGAAAUUUAUACCUACUCUUCAGUUCAACGAGAUAGUUUUGAAUUAUUAUAACAAAUACCCCACAUUAUUAAGCUAGUGCCUAUACAUAUUUGUUUUUAAACUAAGAAUCCUUAUAACUAGUACAAAGAUGAAUGUUUCCUCCCAAGAGUGUAAAUUAGGCACUAAAAUGACACACGUGUGUGUGUGUGUAUUCCAAAAUAAAUUUUGCAACCAUUUUGUAACCCCAAAUAAGAGGGAAAGCUUUGAUUGUGACAUUCUGAGAAUAAUAUGGUUUCUGUGACCUCAGCUACUCACCUCAUGCUUUUUGUUUCAUCCUUGUUGAUUGAACUUUUUAGGUCUUAACAUGGCUGAUAUAUCAUAAAGAAAAUAAAUAUUUAAUUUUCUCAGGAUCUUCAAUUCACAUAAAUACUAAUUCUCACUGUUUAGAAAUAUAGACAUAGGAAUUCCUGUUGUGGCUCAGUGGAAACGAAUCUGACAAGCAUCCAUGAGGAUGCAGGUUUGAUCCCUGGCCUCACUCGGUGUGUUAAGGAUCUGGUGUUGCUGUGAGCUGUGGUGUAGGUCAAAGAUGUAGCUCGGAGCCCGCAUUGCUGUGGCUGUGGUAUAGGCCAGCAGCUACAGCUCUGAUUUAAUCCCUAGCCUGGGAAACUCUAUGUGCCUCAGGUUCAGUCCUAAAAAGAAAAAAAUAUAUAUAGAUAUAAAUGUAGACAAUAUAAAAAACGGUGCGAGAUUGGUACCAAAUCCAGGAUACCAAUCUGAAGAUGAGUAUGUAUUAUUAACCUAAACCCUGCUGUAAAUCUAUUUUCUUUACACUUGUCGUAUCUCUUAAAAAGUGAAAUAAAUACAUAUCUGCAUAUAUUUUCAUAUGUGCAUAAAUUUUCUAUAAUAUGCUCUUACAUAUUUUUCCAUUCUAAAACAUAGACACAGAGCUGGCCACAUAGGUCAUAUUUAUGUCUAAUUACUGCCAUCUGGCCUCAGUCAUCCUCAAAUCACAAUCCUAAAGCCAUUUCUGACUUCCUUUAAUAAUUGGUUUUGAGUACUACGGGCUUCCUUGGGAGUAAUCUAUCCUGGCUGGUUAGAUCCAAAGAAGCCUUGAAGAACUCCUAAGAAUGAUACAUAUUUCUGAGUAUUCUAUUUCCCAAGAAUUACCUUUUUCCUUCAUAUGGCCCGUUUGCUGCCUGGACAUAUUGCUGGAGGUCAGAGGAAAGCUUUUCCCUUCAUCCACACUUGCUUCUCCCCUUUUGUUCCAACCAUCUUUGCUGCACACCAAACAACCACCAAUGGACGUGUUCUUAAAUUUUGUGGGUCAUGAAUUCAGAUAGGCUCCAAACAAGCUGAUUUCUGCUCCAUGGUUCUGGAGUCUCAGCUGAACAGACUCAAAGGAAUGGGGUUCAGGGACUCAAAUACAUUGGGGCUAGACUGUUCUGGACCCCCUUUUACUCAGGUAUCUGGUGUCUAGGAUAGGAGAGCAUAACCCUGGGCCCAGCUGGACUGUUAACUCGAUACUCUCCCACUGCCUCACUAGGUUGUUUGGGUUUCUCUCAGCAUGGCAGCAGGCUCCUGGGUUCUGAGGUAGCCAAGAGGAAGCAUCUGGAAAAUGGGUGUUCAGAGAGAGCAAAGCGGGAGCCAUAUGGCAUUUUUAUGACCUAGUCUUGGGAGUAAUAUAACAUUGCUCCUCCACUCAGUUUCUAGGGGAGGCUAUAUAGAUCCCUCACCUCUCCAUGGAAGGAAUGUCAAGAAAUUUUCAGUCCUUAUAAAUCCACUCAACUGAAAGCAGACACAAAAAGCAAAUGCAAAUCUUAGUGUGUAUUACUGGUAAAACUAGAUUGGACUGAAUACACAACAGGGAUAGGCUACCUGCCACUCUUAUCUGAAUUAUCCUCCCCAGUUAAAAUUUCAGAGCAGCAACUUCUUCCUUGUCUCUUCACUCACCAUAGGGUAGGAUAGAACCUGGUAUAUUUAUCACAUUGGAAGAAUUCACUCUGCUUAAAGGUGACCAAGGCAGAGAAAAGAGAUUUCGUGACACCCACUGUGAUUUGGACAAAUUUGACAGUCCUCUAAGACCCAAUACUCAGGAAAAGACAGAUCUCAAAGGGAUUAGGGGAAUAGUGAACCAGCCUUCAAUUGAGUUCAUUUGCCAGACUGGAUGAAUUUGAGCUUUAAUUUUCACGACCUCCUGGAUGUGAUCCUUAGAAGCUGACCACAAGGUUUACAAACUAAAAUAAUAUAAGCUAGAUUUUUAAUCUAAUACAAAAGAAUAGAAAAUGAGACUGCAUCAAACAAUAAUUAAUUAUUUGGGGGGGUGGAAUUCUGUUUACUUGAUCACCAAGAAAAAACAAGUUUCUUAUUCUGUGUCAUGGUCAAACAUAUUAAAAUCUACUAUCCUCAGAAAACUCAUGUGUAUAACCAGGAAAAAGGUAUAAGAAUGUUCAAGUAGUAUUGUUCCAUAAGAAAAAUAAGCAGAUACAUUCAAAUGUCUAUAGUUAGAAGAAUGGUGAAUAAAUUGUGGUAUAUCCACAUAAUGGCAUAUUAUGCUGCAGAAAGAACUGGUGAACAACAGCUAAAAGAAACAACAUGGCUAAAUCUUAGGGACAAUUAAUUUAAAGAUCAUGUUUCUUAAGAAUAUUUGCAGUAUGAUUCCACUAACCUACAUUAAAAAACAUGCAAAAAUAAAAAAUUAAUUAUAGGAAUAUACACAGUUAAGACUUGUAAAAUGCAACAGAAUGAUUAACUCGUUUUAUGGCAUUCAAAAGGCUUACAUUUUCUUGGCUCUUUGCCUAUCAUCAAAUAGUUUAUGUCUUCUAACACAAGCCACUACUUCCUAAUGUGACCCUGAAAAGUCAAAAUGCCUCACGGUCUAGUAUAAUGAUAACAUAAUAUUAAAUUCACCCAAUACAUUUGCAAUUUCUAUCUGUUGUGUUCCUAAGUGCCAGUUCUUAUCUAUUUCUCAAUGUUCUCAGCCAGCAAAACAGGAGAUGAGGGUAUUAUAGGACCCUAUAAAUAAAAACCCUUCUUCCCACUUAAUGGAACAUAGUUGUUCCAAUAAACACCAGGCAUCAGAGGGAAGUCAAUAGUAAGAACUCACAUUAGGAGUUUCCAUCGAGGCUCAGCGGAAACAAAUCUGACUAGAAACCAUGUGGUGGUGGGUUUGAUCCCUGGCCUCGCUCAGUGGGUUAAGGAUCUGGUGUUGCUGUGAGCUGUGGUGUAAGUCGCAGAUGCAGCUUGGAUCCUGCGUUGCUGUGGCUGUGGUAUAGGCCAGCAGCCGUAGCUCUAAUUAGACCCCCUAGCCUGGGAAAAUCCAUAUGCCAUGGGAGCAGC
Molecule: long non-coding RNA, 3679 nt
Filed under: Sus scrofa (pig)
Lineage: Eukaryota; Metazoa; Chordata; Mammalia; Artiodactyla; Suidae
Description: lncRNA (ENSSSCG00000055247.1)
Source: RNAcentral